GAUGAACGCUAGCUACAGGCUUAACACAUGCAAGUCGAGGGACCGGCGCACGGGUGAGUUACACGUAACCCACCUGCCCUUUAUUCGAUGAUAGCCUUUAGAAAGAAAGAUUAAUACAUGAUAUAAAGGACGGGGAUGCGUUUCAUUAGGUGGUUGGUGAGGUAACGGCCAAGCAAGCGUUCGAUGGUUAGGGGUUCUGAGGGGAAGAUCCACCGCAUGUGAACUAAGCCACGGUCCAAACUCCUAGGGGGGGCAGCGGUAAGGAAUAUUAGUCAAUGGGCGGUAGCCUGAACCAGCCAAGUAGCGUGAAAGAUGAAGGCGUAUGAAUCGUAAACUUCUUAUAUAUAAGAAUAUGUAUUAUAUGAAUAAGGAUCGGCUAACUCCGUGCCAGCCGCCGCGGUAAUUC
RNAcentral lists this ribosomal RNA (406 nucleotides) under uncultured bacterium. RNAcentral's name for it is "partial 16S ribosomal RNA". It matches the Rfam family "Bacterial small subunit ribosomal RNA", at positions 28 to 526 of the family's 1533-position model. The record is from RNAcentral.